GAUGAACGCUGGCGGCGUGCCUAAUACAUGCAAGUCGAGCGAACAGACGAGGAGCUUGCUCCUCUGACGUUAGCGGCGGACGGGUGAGUAACACGUGGAUAACCUACCUAUAAGACUGGGAUAACUUCGGGAAACCGGAGCUAAUACCGGAUAACAUGUUGAACCGCAUGGUUCAACAGUGAAAGACGGUCUUGCUGUCACUUAUAGAUGGAUCCGCGCCGCAUUAGCUAGUUGGUAAGGUAACGGCUUACCAAGGCAACGAUGCGUAGCCGACCUGAGAGGGUGAUCGGCCACACUGGAACUGAGACACGGUCCAGCCUCCUACGGGAGGCAGCAGUAGGAAAUCUUCCGCAAUGGCGAAAGCCUGACGGAGCAACGCCGCGUGAGUGAAGAAGGUCUUCGGAUCGUAAAACUCUGUUAUUAGGGAAGAACAAAUGUGUAAGUAACUAUGCACGUCUUGACGGUACCUAAUCAGAAAGCCACGGCUAACUACGUG
Molecule: ribosomal RNA, 496 nt
Filed under: uncultured bacterium
Lineage: Bacteria
Description: partial 16S ribosomal RNA
Rfam family: Bacterial small subunit ribosomal RNA
Source: RNAcentral